GACGAACGCUGGCGGCGUGCCUAAUACAUGCAAGUCGAGCGAGCGGAACUAACAGAUUUACUUCGGUAAUGACGUUAGGAAAGCGAGCGGCGGAUGGGUGAGUAACACGUGGGGAACCUGCCCCAUAGUCUGGGAUACCACUUGGAAACAGGUGCUAAUACCGGAUAAGAAAGCAGAUCGCAUGAUCAGCUUUUAAAAGGCGGCGUAAGCUUUCGCUAUGGGAUGGCCCCGCGGUGCAUUAGCUAGUUGGUAAGGUAAAGGCUUACCAAGGCGAUGAGGCAUAGCCGAGUCGAGAGACUGAUCGGCCACAUUGGGACUGAGACACGGCCCAAACUCCUACGGGAGGCAGCAGUAGGGAAUCUUCCACAAUGGACGCAAGUCUGAUGGAGCAACGCCGCGUGAGUGAAGAAGGUUUUCGGAUCGUAAAGCUCUGUUGUUGGUGAAGAAGGAUAGAGGUAGUAACUGGCCUUUAUUUGACGGUAAUCAACCAGAAAGUCACGGCUAACUACGUG
This 512-nucleotide ribosomal RNA is filed under the name uncultured bacterium. RNAcentral describes it as "partial 16S ribosomal RNA". It matches the Rfam family "Bacterial small subunit ribosomal RNA", at positions 28 to 507 of the family's 1533-position model. The record is from RNAcentral.